Molecule: small RNA, 28 nt
Filed under: Bombyx mori (domestic silkworm)
Lineage: Eukaryota; Metazoa; Arthropoda; Insecta; Lepidoptera; Bombycidae
Description: piRNA piR-bmo-1390932
Source: RNAcentral
AACCAUUGAUCUGGGGCGUAUGUGUAUC